Molecule: long non-coding RNA, 1039 nt
Filed under: Equus asinus (donkey)
Lineage: Eukaryota; Metazoa; Chordata; Mammalia; Perissodactyla; Equidae
Description: lncRNA (ENSEASG00005029258.1)
Source: RNAcentral
UCUGAUAAAUUUGCUUGUUUUAUUUUUCUCUGGCAUAUAAAUUUCAUGCAUUUAUGGGAACUGUGGUUAUAUACAUCAGGCAGAGUAUAGAAAUAAGACUGACAAAUUUCAAAGCACACCACUGCAAAAAGAAGUUAUUUUUUUAUAUUCAAACUCCUGCCUUCAGCUUUGCUUGUUUAAAUCUCAUCCUCCUCCCAGUCCUAUAGCUAAGCAUUUCCCCAAACCCUCCUCUUUCUUUCAGGUGAGUUGGCUCUUCCUUUCACCUCCCCAUGAGGCUACUACUCCUGAUAUUUUUAAGUUAUCUUCUUGCUUGUCGUGAUCACUUUUAUCCUCGUGGUCCAUUUCCUCUCAUCCUUCCUGUGUUUGCUUCUCCUUCCUCUUAUGUCAUGCUUUCAUCAUAUUGCCCCUUUUUCUCUAUAAUCAAUGAGCAGAUAUUCUUUCUGGAUAUUUUCUUGAGGGUUUAGUUAGCUCCAGAGCCUGGAACUGUCCUGGCAAUCUUUUUAUUGUGUAUUUACCAAGAGUGGCGCCCAAUCCCUGAUCACGCUCACAUAGACAUGCACACACACGCCAUCAUGGGCCCAGAGCAUCUUCAACAAAUGUUGUAUGAUGAGUCAUCAGUACCAUACUGAUCGCACAGAGACAUUAAGGUACCCCAUAGAUAUUUUACACUUCCCUACUGCCUAUAUUACAGGGCUAAGACACAGACAAAACAUACAACAAAAUUAAUGAAAUAUUUUAACCAUAUUGGGCUUGAACCAAUUAGCAACACACAGUAAUUUUAUGGGUAUGAUGUACAAGGAGUUUCAAAGCCUUUCAUAAUUAGGAUCUUGCUCUAAAAAUUCACAGAGUGCUGCUCCAUGUCAAUGAGAUGAAAUUAUGUAGGCUGAUGUCUCUGCUGGUCACAUCGAUGUUUAACACCUGUUGGGAACCAAAGGAAAAGUAUUGGGAAUUUGGUGACUGAAAUUUCCUGCACUCAAACAAAUCAGAUACAAACCAUGGUCUGCAUGACACUCUGAUACUUUCACAGUUCAUUGCCUUG